RNAcentral lists this transfer RNA (77 nucleotides) under Xanthomonas phage XacN1. Its description in RNAcentral is "tRNA-Arg". It matches the Rfam family "tRNA". Rfam says of the family: Transfer RNA (tRNA) molecules are approximately 80 nucleotides in length. Their secondary structure includes four short double-helical elements and three loops (D, anti-codon, and T loops). The record is from RNAcentral. Lineage: Duplodnaviria; Heunggongvirae; Uroviricota; Caudoviricetes.
CCGUCUAUAGCUCAACUGGACAGAGCAGUGGUGUUCUAGGCCAUUGGUUGGGGGUUCGAAUCCCUCUGGGCGGGCCA